GCAAACUUGGUCAUUUAGAGGAAGUAAAAGUCGUAACAAGGUUUCCGUAGGUGAACCUGCGGAAGGAUCAUUAUCGAAUAAAUCUGGCAUGGUUGUAGCUGGCUCUUAGGAGCAUGUGCACACCUGUCACCUUUAUCUUUCCACCUGUGCACCCUUUGUAGCCCCAGGAUAACCUCUCGCGCACUCUGGUGUUGCGGAUGCGAAGGUUGUCGUGCCUCACUGGCUGGCUUCCAUUGAAUUUCCUGGGUCUAUGUUUCUUACACACCCCUGUAUGUUAAAUAGAAUGUUGAUUUCAAAUGGCUUUGGCCUAUAGAAACUCAAUACAACUUUCAGCAACGGAUCUCUUGGCUCUCGCAUCGAUGAAGAACGCAGC
RNAcentral lists this unclassified non-coding RNA (373 nucleotides) under uncultured fungus. RNAcentral's name for it is "partial contains small subunit ribosomal RNA, internal transcribed spacer 1, and 5.8S ribosomal RNA". The stretch from base 1 to 73 matches the Rfam family "Eukaryotic small subunit ribosomal RNA", at positions 1759 to 1831 of the family's 1831-position model. The record is from RNAcentral. Lineage: Eukaryota; Fungi.